Molecule: long non-coding RNA, 2807 nt
Filed under: Sus scrofa (pig)
Lineage: Eukaryota; Metazoa; Chordata; Mammalia; Artiodactyla; Suidae
Description: lncRNA (ENSSSCG00025072301.1)
Source: RNAcentral
AUGGCGGUUGGAGGGUCGGCAGUGAUCACACGUCGGCUGCUGGAAAGAACUGGAUUCUCGUUUCAGGCUACCAUCAAAAAAGCUAAGUUUGCUGUAUAGUAAGGAUCAGAAGAUCUGAUCCUGAUUGCAGAACAUUGCUGAUUACAGAAUCUUGGGUUGUGUCUCCCACCUCAUCUUUCCCUACCAUCCCAGAAGAUCUAUAAGGUUCCAUCUGGGAAAACACUAGAAGUUCUUGGAAGGGAAAGAAGGAAGAGGAUUACUGGUUGGAAUAAAAACAGGGUUGAAUGAGUUCCAGAAAGCAGGGUUCUCAAACUCGUGGACAACAAUCUGCAGAAGAAGACAACUUCAAAAAACCAACUAGAAGCAAUAUGCAGAGAAGUAAGAUGAGAGGAGCCUCCUCAGGAAAGAAGACCGCUGGUCCACAGCAGAAGAAUCUGGAAGCAGCACUCCCCGGCAGGUGGGGGGGUCGCUCUGCAGAGACCCCCCCUUCGGGGUCCGUGAGGAAGACCAGAAAGAACAAACAGAAGACCCCUGGAAAUGGAGAUGGUGGCAGUACCAGCGAAGCACCUCAGCCACCUCGGAAGAAAAGGGCCCGGGCUGACCCCACUGUGGAAAGUGAGGAGGCAUUUAAGAAUAGAAUGGAAGUGAAAGUGAAGAUUCCUGAAGAAUUAAAACCAUGGCUAGUUGAGGACUGGGACUUAGUUACCAGGCAGAAGCAGCUCUUUCAACUCCCUGCUAAGAAAAAUGUAGAUGCCAUUCUGGAAGAGUACGCAAAUUGCAAGAAAUCACAGGGAAAUGUUGAUAAUAAGGAGUAUGCGGUUAAUGAAGUUGUGGCAGGAAUAAAAGAGUAUUUCAAUGUGAUGUUGGGCACUCAGCUGCUCUAUAAAUUUGAGAGGCCCCAGUAUGCCGAAAUCCUCUUGGCUCACCCUGAUGCGCCCAUGUCCCAGGUUUAUGGGGCACCACACCUACUGAGAUUAUUUGUGAGAAUUGGAGCAAUGUUGGCAUAUACGCCCCUUGAUGAGAAGAGCCUUGCAUUAUUGUUGGGCUAUCUGCAUGAUUUCCUAAAAUACCUGGCAAAGAAUGCUGCGUCUCUGUUUACUGCCAGUGAUUAUAAAGUGGCUUCUGCUGAGUACCACCGCAAAGCCCUGUGAGGGUCUCCUGACCGCUCGCUGUUAUGUCUGGUAUCUGUAAACACUCUUUUUGUUCUUAGUCUUUUUCUUGUAUAAUUGAUGUUCUUUAAAAUUGUUCAUGUAUAACAGGGCUUAUGUUUCAGUUUGUUUUCUGUUUUAUUCUAAACAGAAAAUAAAAGGAGUGCAAGCUCCUUUUCUCAUUUCAAAGUUGCUACCAGUGUACACAGUAAUUAGACAAAGAAGAAACAUUCAGUAGAACAUUUUAUUGCCUAGUUGACAACAUUGCUUGAAUGCUGGUGGUUCUAUCCCUUUGACACUACACAAUUUUCUAAUAUGUGUUAAUGCUAUGUGGAAAAAUGCCCUGAUUCCUAGUGCCAAAGGUUCAACUUAAUGUAUAUACCUGAAAACCCAUGCAUUUGUGCUCUUUUUUUUUUAUGGUGCUUGAAGUAAAACAGCCCAUCCUCUGCAAGUCCAUCUCUGUUGUUCCUUAGGCAUUCUAUCUUUGCUCAAAUUGUUGAAGGAUGGUGGUUUGUUUCAUGGUUUUUGUAUUUGAGUCUAAUGCACGUUCUAACAUGAUAGGGGCAAUGCAUUAUUGUGUAGCCACGGUUUUCUGGAGAAGUUGAUAUUUUAGGAAUUGUAUUUCAGAUCUUAAAUAAAAUUUGUUUCUAAAUUUCAAAGCAAAUAAUUUGCAAUGUGCCUUUCAUGUCCCAGAGGUGGAGAAGUCAGCAGGCUUAGGCAAGAUCUAGAUGGUAUUAAAGGAGAGAGUUCUAACUCCUAGUGAAAGAAUUCCUUUUAUUAUUGGGUGUCGCAUCCAGGAGUAUGCCCUGUCGGGCCAGUCCCCUUCCUUUCCCCUCUGUGUGGCUUCUCAGGGUGGGAUUGUUUUCUAGUGCUGCUUGUCAGAGCCACUUUUGUUCCUGGUGCUCCUGUCCUUUAUGAGUUGGGCUGGUGUAAUUGGAUAUACUGUAACAGUUCCUUAUAGGAGUUCCUUUCAUGGCUCAGAGGGUUAUAAACCUGACUGGUAUUCAUGAGGUUGCGGGUUCAAUCCCUGGCCUCACUCAGCAGGUUAAGGAUCUGGUGUUGCCUUGAGCUGUGGUGUAGGUCGCAGAUGCGGCUCAGAUCCCACAUUGCUGUGGCUGUGGCGUAGUCCGGCACCGGCGGUUCCAAUUCAACCCCUAGCCUGGAAACGUCCGUGUGCCACAGGUGCAGCCCUAAAAAGAAAAACAAAAAACCCAUGUUAUAUCAGAAAUACCUGGGAGUUCCCGUUGUGGCACAGUGGUUAACGAAUCCGACUAGGAACCAUAAGGUUGCAGGUUCGGUCCCUGCCCUUCUUGCUCAGUGGGUUAACGAUCCGGUGUUGCCAUGAGCUGUGGUGUAGGUUGCAGACACGGCUCGGAUCCCGCGUUGCUGUGACUCUGGCGUAGGCUGGCGGCUACAGCUCCGAUUACAUCCCUAGCCUGGGAACCUCCCAUAUGCUGCAAGAGCGGCCCAAGAAAUGGCAAAAAGACAAAAAAAAAAAAAAUACCUGCAGAUUUGGGGCUAAAGACGGCAGCUUUCCUAUCUCUAGCAUUGAUGCCAUGUUCCUUCUGUUUUUUUAAUCCCUUGGAUGUAACAUUGGGAAUCCUAGAGUAGAGGGUCUGGAAAAGAAGGUUGGUCUAUGAUUAUAAAUCCAUCUUAUAU